GAUGAACGCUGGCGGCGUGCCUAAUACAUGCAAGUCGAGCGAACGGACGAGAAGCUUGCUUCUCUGAUGUUAGCGGCGGACGGGUGAGUAGCACGUGGAUAACCUACCUAUAAGACUGGGAUAACUUCGGGAAACCGGAGCUAAUACCGGAUAAUAUUUUGAACCGCAUGGUUCAAAAGUGAAAGACGGUCUUGCUGUCACUUAUAGAUGGAUCCGCGCUGCAUUAGCUAGUUGGUAAGGUAACGGCUUACCAAGGCAACGAUGCAUAGCCGACCUGAGAGGGUGAUCGGCCACACUGGAACUGAGACACGGUCCAGACCCCUACGGGAGGCAGCAGUAGGGAAUCUUCCGCAAUGGGCGAAAGCCUGACGGAGCAACGCCGCGUGAGUGAUGAAGGUCUUCGGAUCGUAAAACUCUGUUAUUAGGGAAGAACAUAUGUGUAAGUAACUGUGCACAUCUUGACGGUACCUAAUCAGAAAGCCACGGCUAACUACGUG
This 497-nucleotide ribosomal RNA is filed under the name uncultured bacterium. Its description in RNAcentral is "partial 16S ribosomal RNA". It matches the Rfam family "Bacterial small subunit ribosomal RNA", at positions 28 to 507 of the family's 1533-position model. The record is from RNAcentral.